UGGAAGAAAACCGGAAACGAGAGGUAUCAAGUGCACUCCAUGUGUAUUUUAAAGACUGGCUCUACGCAUCUGGAAAUAUAAGGCAACUCUAUUGCCUACAAGGUGACUAAUAUUGAAUAUAUAGACCAAGUGGAAUAUGUCUCAUUCGUUCCUGUAGAGCUCCCUCGAUCAUAUUUGGCAUAUUGCUAGUGAAGAAUCCCUCCCAAGACAAAAAAGAAGAAGAAAAAAAGAGAAACCAGCCUGAUUUGUAGUUUGGAACCAAUACGCACCACGUAACUUAUCUGCACAGAAUACUUCCUUUAAGCUUUCCUUUAGAUUAUUAUUUUUUUUUCUGCUUUGGUCAUGUUUAAUUUUUGUUUCUUUUGACAUUUCCAAUCCCUCGUUUUUGAAAAUCUCAGCUUCAGAUAGAGCAUGAUGAUUUGAAUUGUUAUAAGUAAUAACUUGUAAGCAAAACUUUUUUUUUGAAAUACUUCGUCUUGAUAGAUUUAAGAGAACUCAA
Camelina sativa (false flax) is the source of this 499-nucleotide non-coding RNA. Lineage: Eukaryota; Viridiplantae; Streptophyta; Magnoliopsida; Brassicales; Brassicaceae. The record is from RefSeq and is a predicted model, not a curated record.